Molecule: ribosomal RNA, 217 nt
Filed under: Campeiostachys nutans
Lineage: Eukaryota; Viridiplantae; Streptophyta; Magnoliopsida; Poales; Poaceae
Description: Elymus nutans partial small subunit ribosomal RNA
Rfam family: Eukaryotic small subunit ribosomal RNA (bases 40-217)
Source: RNAcentral
GGGUUAGUAGGUUGGUCAUGCCUCUGGUAUGUACUGGUCUCACUGAUUCCUCCUUCCUGAUGAACCGUAAUGCCAUUAAUUUGGCGUUGCGGGGAAUUUGGACUGUUACUUUGAAAAAAUUAGAGUGUUUAAAGCAAGCUUAUUGCUCGAAUACAUUAGCAUGGAAUAAUGAAAUAGGACGUUUGAUCCUAUUUUGUUGGUUUCUAGGAUUGACGUA